GGUCCUGUAGCUCAGUGGUUAGAGUGCUCGCCUCCGGAGCGAGAAGUCGACGGUUCGACCCCGCCCAGGAUCG
Ramicandelaber brevisporus is the source of this 73-nucleotide non-coding RNA. NCBI's taxonomy places the organism in Eukaryota, Fungi, Kickxellomycota, Ramicandelaberales, Ramicandelaberaceae. The record is from the annotation of a GenBank genome assembly.